GGCUGUGGGGGUGAUCUGUCACCCCACUGAUCACCAGGGUUGAUUUGGCUGAUCUGGCUGGCUAAGCAGGUGUCCCCUUCCUCCCUCAUCGCUCCAUGUGUGUCCCUCCCAAAGCUGCUUGCUUGUUGGUCAAAGAGGAAGACUUCCUGUGUUGGAGUAGCUGCGCUCCCCUGUCCUUCCCUGCUAGAACCUCCAAACAAGCUCUCAAGGAAAUAAACAUAGCACACAGGAAAAGGAGGACAUAAUUUACAGACCAAAUCAGUACUUAAAAAGGAUU
Erinaceus europaeus (western European hedgehog) is the source of this 277-nucleotide unclassified non-coding RNA. Its record names the gene 7SK. It matches the Rfam family "7SK RNA". From Rfam's summary of the family: 7SK was discovered as an abundant small nuclear RNA in the mid-70s but a possible function has only recently been suggested. Two independent studies have found that 7SK RNA binds the CDK9/cyclin T complex (known as elongation factor P-TEFb). Lineage: Eukaryota; Metazoa; Chordata; Mammalia; Eulipotyphla; Erinaceidae. The record is from Ensembl.